GAUGAACGCUGGCGGCGUGCCUAAUACAUGCAAGUCGAGCGAACAGACGAGGAGCUUGCUCCUCUGACGUUAGCGGCGGACGGGUGAGUAACACGUGGAUAACCUACCUAUAAGACUGGGAUAACUUCGGGAAACCGGGGCUAAUACCGGAUAAUAUAUUGAACCGCAUGGUUCAAUAGUGAAAGACGGUUUUGCUGUCACUUAUAGAUGGAUCCGCGCCGCAUUAGCUAGUUGGUAAGGUAACGGCUUACCAAGGCAACGAUGCGUAGCCGACCUGAGAGGGUGAUCGGCCACACUGGAACUGAGACGCGGUCCAGACUCCUACGGGAGGCAGCAGUAGGGAAUCUUCCGCAAUGGGCGAAAGCCUGACGGAGCAACGCCGCGUGAGUGAUGAAGGUCUUCGGAUCGUAAAACUCUGUUAUUAGGGAAGAACAAAUGUGUAAGUAACUAUGCACGUCUUGACGGCACCUAAUCAGAAAGCCACGGCUAACUACGUG
This 497-nucleotide ribosomal RNA is filed under the name uncultured bacterium. Its description in RNAcentral is "partial 16S ribosomal RNA". It matches the Rfam family "Bacterial small subunit ribosomal RNA", at positions 28 to 507 of the family's 1533-position model. The record is from RNAcentral.